GAGGGUAUAGUUCAAGUGGUAGAGCACAUGCAUAGCAUGCACAAGGUUCUGGGUUCAAUUCCCAGUACCUCCU
Camelus ferus (Wild Bactrian camel) is the source of this 73-nucleotide transfer RNA. It matches the Rfam family "tRNA". Rfam says of the family: Transfer RNA (tRNA) molecules are approximately 80 nucleotides in length. Their secondary structure includes four short double-helical elements and three loops (D, anti-codon, and T loops). Further hydrogen bonds mediate the characteristic L-shaped molecular structure. tRNAs have two regions of fundamental functional importance: the anti-codon, which is responsible for specific mRNA codon recognition, and the 3' end, to which the tRNAs corresponding amino acid is attached (by aminoacyl-tRNA synthetases). tRNAs cope with the degeneracy of the genetic code in two manners: having more than one tRNA (with a specific anti-codon) for a particular amino acid; and 'wobble' base-pairing, i.e. permitting non-standard base-pairing at the 3rd anti-codon position. Lineage: Eukaryota; Metazoa; Chordata; Mammalia; Artiodactyla; Camelidae. The record is from Rfam.